Scylla paramamosain (green mud crab) is the source of this 491-nucleotide long non-coding RNA. RefSeq lists it as uncharacterized. Lineage: Eukaryota; Metazoa; Arthropoda; Malacostraca; Decapoda; Portunidae. The transcript has 3 exons. The record is from RefSeq and is a predicted model, not a curated record.
GCAGAGGAGGAGGAGGAGGUGGUGGUGGUGGUGGUGUUUUUGGUGGUGGUGGUUGAUGGUGAAAAGAAAAGUGCAAGAAGAUAAAAAGUGUUUGGGAAAAGGAAAGGAAACGUUUGAGUGGAGAAGAAAAGAAGAUUCGAGAGGAACAGAAGGUGCACAUGGAAGGGGAAGAAUGGUUAUCUGCUCCCGGACCCCCGCCGCCAUCUUUCGGGGAGCACGAUCUGGCCGCCGCUGCCGGGAGGGGGAAGGACAGACGUCGCUGGUGGAUGGCAGUACUGGGGUGACGCUCUCCUGUCUUCGUCGCCAGAAGGCAAGAGCAGUACCCCUAGUGAAGGAGACACGUGCUCCCUGUACGUUGUCAAGACCAGCCGCCUGCCUCAUGAUGUGGCGAUCGGAACCCCGCCACUUGAGUCCCAUUGUCAAGAAUCUUACGUAUGGUUAGUCAUAAGUAGUCAUGGAAUGUGUGUGCGAGUAAAGGAGAGACAAUUUUC